GUACAGCUAAUUAAACUAACUGUGCUCUCUGUCCUGGGGAUCUAGUAUGCAAUGGCUGCCAAUAGCAAGUAGAUUCAUUGAUAAUGUAGCAACCUGUGGUUGUAUGGGCUGUUCAAAGGAAUCUUGUAAACAGUC
This is a small nucleolar RNA of Suncus etruscus (white-toothed pygmy shrew), 135 nucleotides long. RefSeq annotates it as small nucleolar RNA SNORA70. The transcript has a single exon. The record is from RefSeq and is a predicted model, not a curated record. NCBI's taxonomy places the organism in Eukaryota, Metazoa, Chordata, Mammalia, Eulipotyphla, Soricidae.